UUGACGGGACCGCACAAGCGGUGGAUGAUGUGGAUUAAUUCGAUGCAACGCGAAAACCUUUACCUACCCUUGACAUGUCCGGAAUCCCGAAGAGAUUUGGGAGUGCCUCGCAAGAGAACCGGAACACAGGUGCUGCAUGGCUGUCGUCAGCUCGUGUCGUGAGAUGUUGGGUUAAGUCCCGCAACGAGCGCAACCCUUGUCAUUAGUUGCCAUCAUUUGGUUGGGCACUCUAAUGAGACUGCCGGUGACAAACCGGAGGAAGGUGGGGAUGACGUCAAGUCCUCAUGGCCCUUAUGGGUAGGGCUUCACACGUCAUACAAUGGUCGGUACAGAGGGUUGCCAACCCGCGAGGGGGAGCUAAUCCCACAAAGCCGAUCGUAGUCCGGAUCGCAGUCUGCAACUCGACUGCGUGAAGUCGGAAUCGCUAGUAAUCGUGGAUCAGCAUGUCACGGUGAAUACGUUCCCGGGUCUU
Molecule: ribosomal RNA, 472 nt
Filed under: uncultured Rhodocyclaceae bacterium
Lineage: Bacteria; Pseudomonadati; Pseudomonadota; Betaproteobacteria; Rhodocyclales; Rhodocyclaceae
Description: bacterial SSU rRNA
Rfam family: Bacterial small subunit ribosomal RNA
Source: RNAcentral